Cataglyphis hispanica is the source of this 3507-nucleotide RNA transcript. It is a transcript of the gene named ras-related protein Rab-9A, with no coding region annotated. The record is from RefSeq and is a predicted model, not a curated record. Lineage: Eukaryota; Metazoa; Arthropoda; Insecta; Hymenoptera; Formicidae. The transcript has 4 exons.
GCAUUAUGACUCGGAACAGAUGUUUGACAUUUGCGAGCGUGAUGUGUGUGAAAGUGAAAGAUAAAACGUAAGGUUAAAUAAAAACGGAUAACAAGUAACAUAUAUAAUGUUAAUCAAUGAAAAUGUGUUAACAGUUUAAAAUUUUUUUUCAACAUUAACAGUCGUAUAUACUCUCAUCUCUUAAACACAUGCCCUAAUUGUAUUCUUAGAUCUAUGAAAGUGGCUGGUAUUUAUUUAUAAUCGCAGGUAGCCAUGUUUUUGCAAGGGUCGCACUUGCUCGACCUCCAACAUGGGCGUUCCUUUUUGUCGUCUGCAAUGUGUCAAAUGAACAGAAAAUGAUUGAAAACUGUUGGGUAGCCGAGUAGAAGAUAUUAAAUUCGUGGAAAUCGAUGUGUCAACAAAGACGCCUUUAAAGAAAUCGAGGAAUGCGUUAUCCGUUUUGAUGAACGUAACGAAUUUUCUUUUGCUAUUUUUAUUGACGGUGUUGCGAUAACAAAAGACGUUUCUCGUGCAAUUGAAUACGAUAAUUGAAUUAAAAGCACGAGAAAAAAGUGCGAGCUUGCUUCAACGGAUAAUCUCUUCUUCAUCGAAACUUCGAAACUCUUAAUUUAACGUGAAAUCAAUGAGGAUUCCCAUCGAUUCAAUCGUAAGGUUAUGCAGUGGAUUCGAGAAAAAAUAAAGAACUUUUUAUAUGCUAAUUAUUUUAUAGAAGCGAAAGAGAGUAGGAGAGAGAGAAAGAAAGAAGAAAAGUUUUUUCGUGGGUAGUAAACAGCGAAAUAUUUUAAUGUGUGCCGCAAGUUCUGAGAAACUAAAAUACAAGAGUUCUGUUUAAAAUCAGCUGAUCGGCAAAGAGAGAGUUUGUGAGAUUUAAUUAGGCUUUAAUGAGAAUAUAUGUGAAUUAUUUUGAGUAUACAUAUAUUGAAGAUAUUUAUUACACAAGAUUUUGUUCAAACAAAAAUUCUAAAAAAAAAAAGAAAAACAGAAAAUGUCGACGAACAAUUCGGUCACAAUGAGUACAAACAGAGGCGGUAAUUUUCAAAAUCGCAAUUCCCAGAGAUCUACUCUUCUGAAAGUGGUAAUACUUGGAGAUGGUGGUGUUGGAAAGUCCUGUCUUAUGAACAGAUUCGUAUCGAAUCAUUUCGAUGAACACAGUUUUCAUACUAUUGGAGUAGAAUUUCUGAAUAAAGAUAUUGAAAUCAAUGGUGAAGCGUAUACAUUGCAAAUAUGGGAUACCGCCGGUCAGGAAAGAUUUAAGACUCUGAGAACACCUUUCUAUAGAGGCUCAGACAUUUGUCUUCUGACUUAUGCAGUAGAUGAUAGGAUGAGUUUUAGAAAUCUGGCGCUAUGGAGAUCUGAAUUUCUUAAGUAUGCAGAUGUUCAAGAAGACUCCAGUUUUCCAUUUAUUGUUGUUGGUAAUAAGGUGGAUGUUGCAGAGUCUGAAAAGCAAGUUUCCACAGAAGAAGCUCAAGCUUGGUGUUUAGAAAAUGGUGGUCCUCCGUUAGUUGAAACAUCAGCGAAAGAUGCCACUAAUGUUGAGGCAGCAUUUGGGGCAGCGGUUGACGCAUGGGCGAGAUUAGAAGCUAGAUUAGAACGGCCUUUAGUAGAAGACACUGUCGAUCUUUCUAAACAGCAGUCUCCACAUCGUUCGAGCUGCUGCAUGCCUGUGUCCAGCACUGAAUCUUCAUUUGUGACCAGUUAAUUGAAAUGGGUUGUAAGAAGAUAAGCAUAUAUAUACAAUCUUAUGCGAUACAAUAUUUUUGGAACUGUCAUUUAAAGUUUCUUUACAUUUGGAAGGAGUACAUAAUGUCACAAAUUGAACUCAUAGAAAUGGUGUUUUUAUUCUCUUUAGGAUCAAUAAAAACACUACACGAUAUAUGUGUCUAACAAAGUAAUUUGAAGAGAAUGUCUUGCCUGUCUACAAUAUUCUAUUCAUUAUAUGGUAAACUUUCUUUAUUGACACGCUGGAAUUACGUCGAUUGCAUGUAAAUGGCAUAUGUUCUUUCAAAUUUUUUACUUAAGGCUGAUUAAAAUUUCCAAAGAAAGUGGUCUAAUUUAUAGGAUAUUAUUAGUAAUGAACAAACGAUGAUUUUACUGAUUAAGUCUUUCUUUUCUAUGAAUCUUAAUAAAAUACUCAAGUAAAGCCACAGAGGUCGUAUAUGAGACAAAUAAUGUAUUGCGCGAUAUAUAGAUAGAUAUAUCAGGAUGUCCGAUAAAUGAUCAAACGAAAGGUGGGGGUAGAUCCUGUACCAAAGUCCUGCACCAUUUUUUUUUGUAACGCUUAAAUAAUAAAAGAGUUAUUAUUGAGUAAAAUCUGGCCAAUUAGCGCCAAUCUUUAACUGGACACACGUCAGUGAGUCGCACACCUGGUAGUGGUGCGCCGCUAUAACGGCGGAGCGCUCACGUAACUACACUAAAAAAAUGAUCCAAGACUUUUCGAUUCAAUUUGAGCAAAUCUAUCUCCACCUUUCAUUUGGUCACUUACUUGUCAAACAUCUUGUAUAUUUCCAGAAUACAAUCUUAAGAUCUAAGAUCAAGUUAAACGUCCUAUCAACGCUUUGUGCAGCUCUUAAUAAGCUACUAACAGUAUUUUAAGUGUUUUCACACACCACUGGCUUGUGAUAAAAUAUAAUAAUAAAUAAUAAUAAUACAAUAAUAAUCAUGAAUUGCUUUAUUAAAUAAGGGAUAGGCAUAAGAUGUAAUUUUAGCUUUGCAAUCUAAAUUUGCCUUAUCCUCGCGAUACAUGUCUGAGAAUAGUAAAAAGUAAAAUGUGUUUUUUAUUUAAGCAUAAUCUUGCUAUGGAUAUUCAUGUGCGAAUCUAUAUGUUAAUUUGACAUUUGUACAAAAUGCUUUUCUGCUCUUAGAACAUUUCUCAUUCAACGUCUAACAAUUUUUCUACGAAUUAAUAAUGUUAUGAAGGAAUGAAAUUUUUUACAAACAAUCAUCGUUGCCGCACAUUUUAUUCGAAAGAUUUUUGAUUCUUCAGAAACACAGCCUCAUAUAUAGCAUAAGAAGAAAAAUAUAUAAUAAUUUUCCGACAAGAUUUAAAUUGUGUAUAAAAUAUGCACAUGCUGGUGCUUUUUAUAUAUAAUUAGUAUAUGUGAAGUAUAUAAAUUUAUAAUAAAAUAUAUAAUGAUAAUUAAAAUAUUAAGUACAUAAAAUACUAAUCAUAUCAAGGUGAGAGAUGGCUUCAUCUCAUAAUCAUCAUAAUACAUAAGCAUCAUUUACUCCAAAUCUCUAUACGAAAAAUCUAUGAAUUAUUUUUUAAAGGAUACUGCUGCACACUUACAUAUACAUUAUUUAUGAAAAAAUGUAUUAUUUAUGAAAAAAAAAAUGCGCGCGCGUAUUGAUUGUUAUUUAUUAUUUUUACAUACUUAGUAAACAAGGCUAUUUCUCAUAUGUACAUGUGACUUAUGUACAAUAUGUGUGUAUGUAUGCCUUAAGAUUUUAUAAUUCUAGGAGACACGAUUUUGCAAGGAAAAAUAAAUUAUACUGUGCUUGUUUAAGAAA